GACAGAGGGUGCAAACGUUGUUCGGAAUUACUGGGCGUAAAGCGCGUGUAGGCUGCUUCGCAAGUCGGGUGUGAAAGCCCUGGGCUCAACCUAGGAAGUGCACUCGAAACUGCGAAGCUGGAGUCCUGGAGAGGAAGGCGGAAUUCUCGGUGUAGCGGUGAAAUGCGUAGAUAUCAGGAGGAACACCCGUGGUGCAGACGGCUUGCUGGACCGUGACUGACGCUGAGGCACGAAAGCGUGGGUAGCAAACAGG
Molecule: ribosomal RNA, 253 nt
Filed under: uncultured bacterium
Lineage: Bacteria
Description: partial 16S ribosomal RNA
Rfam family: Bacterial small subunit ribosomal RNA
Source: RNAcentral